AGGACGAACGCUGGCGGCGUGCUUAACACAUGCAAGUCGAGCGGAAAGGCCCUUCGGGGUACUCGAGCGGCGAACGGGUGAGUAACACGUGAGCAACCUGCCCCUGGCUCUGGGAUAGCCUUCGGAAACGGGGAUUAAUACCGGAUAUUCACUGCUUCCUGCAUGGGGGGUGGUGGAAAGUUUUUCGGCUGGGGUGGGCUCGCGGCCUAUCAGCUUGGUUGGGGGGUGACGGCCCACCAAGGCGACGACGGGUAG
This 255-nucleotide ribosomal RNA is filed under the name uncultured bacterium. Its description in RNAcentral is "partial small subunit ribosomal RNA". It matches the Rfam family "Bacterial small subunit ribosomal RNA", at positions 26 to 286 of the family's 1533-position model. The record is from RNAcentral.